UCCCAUUGAUUGGUAAUUUAGAGUUCCAUCCUUGCUAAUGAUCUAGAGUCCCAUCUUCAUCCACUUUCCCAGACAAAAUUCGGGGUCUUCUUGUAUUUAACUAUCUUUUAUCACUAAAGCGAUUAAAGAUAUUUAAAUAGGGGCAGCUGUCAUACCCCAAAUUUUGACGUUCCUUUUAAUUAUUUUUUAUGCACUCUUCUU
This 201-nucleotide long non-coding RNA is filed under the name Trifolium pratense (red clover). RNAcentral's name for it is "long non-coding RNA (TPRA_LNC001156)". Lineage: Eukaryota; Viridiplantae; Streptophyta; Magnoliopsida; Fabales; Fabaceae. The record is from RNAcentral.